This 274-nucleotide ribosomal RNA is filed under the name uncultured bacterium. Its description in RNAcentral is "partial 16S ribosomal RNA". It matches the Rfam family "Bacterial small subunit ribosomal RNA", at positions 523 to 796 of the family's 1533-position model. The record is from RNAcentral.
AUACGGAGGGUGCAAGCGUUGUUCGGAAUCAUUGGGCGUAAAGCGCGCGUAGGCGGCUACUUAAGUCAGAUGUGAAAUCCCCGGGCUCAACCUGGGAACUGCAUCUGAUACUGGGUAGCUAGAGUUUUGGAGAGGGAAGUAGAAUUUCAGGUGUAGCGGUGAAAUGCAUAGAGAUCUGAAGGAAUACCAGUGGCGAAGGCGACUUCCUGGCCAAAAACUGACGCUGAGGUGCGAAAGCGUGGGUAGCAAACGGGAUUAGAAACCCCAGUAGUCC